UUGUUAUCAUCAGUUUUGGUUGCAAUUUUGAUUCAUAGGUCUUGCAUUUAGUAUAUUGUAGUGACAAUUUCUUCAAAACUUGUACAUGUGAAAGUUCAAAUGGUAUUUCAUUUGGUCAAGGAAUGUUUGUCUCAUGGUAUUAGUUCUUCUUUGUUUAUUUGGCCCAAUAAUCCAUCAGCUUGAAAUCCACAAGUAAUUCUUGUGUGGCAGACAGGAUGGUUUUCUACUGCCUUCUUCAAUUGAGGGACAUGGAAAAUAGAAUGUAUGCGUGCUGAAGAAUGAAAUUGUUGUUUAAAACCGGUGACAAUUUCUAAAAGUUAAUGAAUUUCUAAGAAUGCAUCAACUAUUUCAAUAUUUAUUUUCCCUCAUCAAGUGGCAUAAAUUUCUCUACAAAUAUGUUCAAUAUGUUCAAAAAAUAUUGUCAAACAAGAAAAGGUUAAUGUUGUCUUCAUGCCUCGUUGAGCUUACAAUGAAAGGUUUCAAAAGACCUACCGGCAUGUCCAACCUAUAAAGUUUUUGAGCAUCAACCUCGACCAAAACUAAAACACUACCUUAUUUCUCGCACAGCUGAAUCACAAAGUAUGUAAUUUUUUGUCCUUAUUACAUGUCUUCGGCAAGAGAAUCACACAAUUCUCCUCUUUUUGGCAUUGUUUUUCAUUUCCUCGAUGUUGUCUUCAUGAUUAAUAACGCUUGUUCCUUCUUGAACUUCUAGUGUGUUUUUAACAAACAUAUGCAAUCUAAAC
This 743-nucleotide long non-coding RNA is filed under the name Medicago truncatula (barrel medic). Its description in RNAcentral is "lncRNA gene31824". The record is from RNAcentral. Lineage: Eukaryota; Viridiplantae; Streptophyta; Magnoliopsida; Fabales; Fabaceae.